RNAcentral lists this ribosomal RNA (240 nucleotides) under uncultured bacterium. RNAcentral describes it as "partial 16S ribosomal RNA". It matches the Rfam family "Bacterial small subunit ribosomal RNA", at positions 15 to 248 of the family's 1533-position model. The record is from RNAcentral.
GAUCAUGGCUCAGGAUGAACGCUGGCGGCGUGCUUAACACAUGCAAGUCGAACGGACUUUAUAUGAAGCCUAGCGAUUAUAAAGUUAGUGGCGGACGGGUGAGUAACGCGUGAAUAACCUGCCCUGUACCGGGGGACAACAGUUGGAAACAGCUGCUAAUACCGCAUAAGCGCACGGUUCCGCAUGGAACAGUGUGAAAAACUCCGGUGGUACAGGAUGGAUUCGCGUCUGAUUAGCCAG